UGGAAAGGCGCGCGAUACAGGGUGACAGCCCCGUACACAAAAAUGCACAUGCUGUGAGCUCGAUGAGUAGGGCGGGACACGUGGUAUCCUGUCUGAAUAUGGGGGGACCAUCCUCCAAGGCUAAAUACUCCUGACUGACCGAUAGUGAACCAGUACCGUGAGGGAAAGGCGAAAAGAACCCCGGCGAGGGGAGUGAAAAAGAACCUGAAACCGUGUACGUACAAGCAGUGGGAGCACGCUUAGGCGUGUGACUGCGUACCUUUUGUAUAAUGGGUCAGCGACUUAUAUUCUGUAGCAAGGUUAACCGAAUAGGGGAGCCGAAGGGAAACCGAGUCUUAACUGGGCGUUAAGUUGCAGGGUAUAGACCCGAAACCCGGUGAUCUAGCCAUGGGCAGGUUGAAGGUUGGGUAACACUAACUGGAGGACCGAACCGACUAAUGUUGAAAAAUUAGCGGAUGACUUGUGGCUGGGGGUGAAAGGCCAAUCAAACCGGGAGAUAGCUGGUUCUCCCCGAAAGCU
This 519-nucleotide ribosomal RNA is filed under the name Escherichia coli. RNAcentral describes it as "partial 23S ribosomal RNA". It matches the Rfam family "Bacterial large subunit ribosomal RNA", at positions 343 to 867 of the family's 2925-position model. The record is from RNAcentral. Lineage: Bacteria; Pseudomonadati; Pseudomonadota; Gammaproteobacteria; Enterobacterales; Enterobacteriaceae.